GGAAGUAAAAGUGUAACAAGGUCUCCGUAGGUGAACCUGCGGAGGGAUCAUUACCACGCGGUUGGGGGGUUGGCUUGAGAGCCGCCCCCGCCCAUCACCCUGCGCACAGCGUGGUGUUGGGGGGUUCUGCCUCCGGGCCGAGCCCCGCUACACGCACACCCCACACCCCACACACCCGCACGACCCGAAUCUACGAGUCGAGAGCGGGCUCGCGAGAGCCCGCUCCUCGCAACCUGAGUCAAACAACUCCAAACGGCGGAUGUCUUGGCUCCC
RNAcentral lists this unclassified non-coding RNA (273 nucleotides) under plant metagenome. Its description in RNAcentral is "partial contains small subunit ribosomal RNA and internal transcribed spacer 1". The stretch from base 1 to 53 matches the Rfam family "Eukaryotic small subunit ribosomal RNA", at positions 1778 to 1831 of the family's 1831-position model. The record is from RNAcentral.